Long non-coding RNA from Ruditapes philippinarum (Manila clam), 1757 nucleotides. RefSeq lists it as uncharacterized. The record is from RefSeq and is a predicted model, not a curated record. NCBI's taxonomy places the organism in Eukaryota, Metazoa, Mollusca, Bivalvia, Venerida, Veneridae. The transcript has 4 exons.
UCCAGUCAGUCUGUAAAUCGACCUCAAACAAAUUGCAACAGAAAAUAUUUUAACUGGUAUAGAAAGUAUAUGGAAUAACAUGAAUCAUAUCAAAAGUCUAGCAAAAUCUAAGUUGCGCAACAUAGAAAAAACGGGUUUUUAUCGCGUUAUUUUUUGUGAUUUUUUUCUGACGACAACGGUCUUCCAUAGGCGAACAAAGCGUUUCCGAUACUCAGAAUAGCGACUGCAUAAUGGCGACAACAACAAACAAAAUAAGUGUAAACAAAAUAAAUGUCAGUAAAGUACACUGUAAAGUGGGGGUACCGCUUUGAGGUAGUCUUCAUUGAUGUAUGCUUGAUUUUGAAAAUAAAAAAAAAUCCAGUAAACUAUAUGUACACUAAAUGAAUUUCAUCAACACACCAGAGCCAAUGGGUAUGCCCGAUCAUGUGUUCUGAGGACACUGUGAUGUAUACGAGUUAAAGAUGAACUCCUUUCGGAUUGGAUAACGGCUGUUUGAUGAUCAUACAAAGACAGUUAAAGGCAACGGAAAGGAAUGCAAGGGAAUAAAUGCUGCCAGUGAGAAAUAAAAUGACAGUUUAAAAGUUGAAUUGGAAUAAUAUAUUCACAUUGAGUGUAGAAAGAUGUACUGUAACCCACAUUACACUAAAAGAGACACUAAGACAGGAAAAGAAAACACUGAUGCCACCAUUGAGAUCAAUGACUGAUAAGUUUUCACAUGACUGAUAAGUUUGUCUGAUACAGUGAGAGCAAGGAUAGAACAGGUUGUAGAGGAUGCUCUUUACCAUCAAACAUGUUUAUGCUAGUCUAAUUUCAGAACUGGAAAAGAUACAGAAGAAUUUCAGGUGCUACCAUCUAGUGAUAAAAAGUGAAAGAUUGGUCGACCAGAAAUUACAGAAGCGAGUGACGCUUUGUAAAAGUCAUGACAUUCUUGUGCUUAUGCAAAGCGAAGAUAUUUUACAAAUUAAAAUUUGCAAAUAUUUUUUUUUUUUUACAUUUUAUGCUCAAAUGUAUCAAAUAUUUGAAAUUGACCUUCCAAAAGGUCUUUUGACCCAAUGUCAUGAUGUUAUUUAAUGACUCAGAAAAAAAUACAACAGAUGUGCUUGAAAGUAUUCAAGUUAAUAUAAAACUCAAUAUUAUUAUCAUAGAUAAUAAAGAUUUCCUUAAUGUUUCCUUAUUUUGUAUAAAAUUACCCCACCCACUAGCUGUACAAUGUUAAUAUAAAUAUUUCAAUAUAUGCAUUAAUUAUUGAUGGAAUGUAAAUUAAAUUCAUAAAACGUUGAAACUUGACAUUUUUCACAUGUACGUAAACCAUUAUGUAUUUUCUGUUUAAUAUUAUAUAACAUAGAGCUUUCAAUAAAUUGUUGAUCUACAGCAAUGUAAAAAUAUAAUAUUACCCCACCCACUUAAGUUAAUUAAUAAAUUUUAGAAAGGUAAAAGUAGUUUCUUUAAACAAAAACAACUUUUUGAUUACUUUAUGUUACUAUAGGGAUAGAUUAAGCUAUAUUUUUAUGCAUAUUAUAUAUAAAACUGAUUGGAAAAUUUUAUGUAUGUAUUACAUUGAGUUUAAAUUAAAAAAAUAAAUACAAUGAUACCCAUAUAUUUGAUCUCAAUUUUUGAAAACAUUCUCCAAUUUAGAUUUUUCUAGACUUUUGAUAUGUUAUACAAUAUAGGUCUGGGGUUUCAAAACACUCAAAAUAUUUUCUGUUGCAAUUUGUUUGAGGUUUGGCUCUAUUUUGAGCUAGAAUGACUGGACUAUA